GUGGAGGAGGAGUGGAAGAAGGCACUAAAGGGAAAGAUUGACAUGUUUAUGUUAUGGAAAAAGAAAUUUUUCUAAGUUGCAUUGCAAACUGUGUCCAGUUUAUCUGUGAUGUUUAUGAAAUAGCUAAAAGCAAAUGAAGGGCAUAUUAUGGUUUUUCAUUUAAAAAAAAAAAAGAACUGACCAACUAUGCCUGCCGAUGUAUAAACAAAGUGAGCCAGUUACUUCAAGGGAAACCACUAAUAGUAUUUGCUGCCAAUGAGCUUUGAAGAGAAAAUUAAAAUUUUGGGGGUUUUUUGUUUUUGUUUUUGUUUUUCUGAGACGGAGUCUCACUCUGUAGCCCAGGCUGGAGUGCAGUGGCGCCAUCUCAGCUCACUGCAAGCUCUGCCUCCCGGGUUCACGCCAUUCUCCUGCCUCAGCCUCCUGAGUAGCUGGGACUACAGGCACCUGCCACCAUGCCGGGGUAAUUUUUUUGUAUUUUUAGUAGAGACAGGGUUUCACCGUGUUAGCCAGGAUGGUCUCAAUCUCCUGACCUCAUGAUCUGCCCACCUCGGCCUCCCAGAAUGCUUGGAUUACAGGCGUGAGCCACUGUGCCCGGCCAAAAAUUAGAAUUUUAUAAAACUUGUAUCUGUCAUCAUCAGCUUCCCAGCUUUCUAAUAUUUAAGAAUUUUUCUGAUGAAAUUGUUAGUGAUAUUAACAAAUGUGAUUUUAAAAUAUUGUAUAAUGAGUCAAUGUUAGGAAGAUCUGCAUAACUCUGUGAACGAAUAUUUUACAUAUUAUUUGUAUACCAAGUUGCAAGGUCAUGCAUGGGUAAAAUGUCCAUUCAAAGUGCAAGUACUGUAACAAGGUACAAAAUGUUCAUUGAUAUAAUUUCCGAUUCUACAUUGCAACAAACCUUUAACAAACUACCACUUAUUGAAUUUUGGUAUAGUGUCAAAGAAUACCUAUAAUUAUCUGAAAAGGCUAUUAAAAGCUCUAUCUCUUACCAACUAUGUAUCUAUGUGAAGUCACAUUUUUAUGAUAUAAUUAAACCAAAAUAAUAUAUUACAAUAAUGGAAAAAUCAAGCUGUUUUCUAUUAAGCCAGACCCUAAAGAGACUAUUCAAAAAGGUGAAACAAUGGCAUUCAUCUCACUAAACUUUUUGUUUUGAAAAUGUAGUUGGCCAGGCACAAUGGCUCAUGCCUGUAAUCCCAGCACUUUGGGAGGUCAAGGCGGGCGGAUCACCUGAGGUCAGGAGUUUGAGACUAGCCUGACCAACAUGGAGAAACCCCGUCUCUACUAUAAAUACAAAAUCAGCUGGGUGUGGUGGCGCAUGCCUGUAAAUUCCAGCUACUUGGGAGGCUGAGGCAGGAGAAUCGCUUGAACCCGGGAGGCAGAGGUUGCAGUGAGCUGAGAUCGUGCCAUUGCACUCCAGCCUGGGCAACAAGAGCAAAACUCCGUGUCAAAAAAAUAAUUUUUUUUCGAUAUGGUAAAUAUUGAUAAAUAUAAUCCAUAUAAACAAAAGCUUUCUGGGGUCCUCAGUAAUUUUUAAGUAUGAAGAGUCUAGAGAUGAAAAAGUUUGAGAAUUGUUGCCCUCAGGGAAUAAUUUAAAGUGAGUUUAAACUGAAGCAAUCUCUCAACUACUUUCCACAAUAGAAGAGAAAACCCUCUAGUUCGUUGAAAAACAUUUGCUAGUUUAAACAUAAGGAUUUGAAAUGGAUGGCAGAUAUGGGGCUGACUGCUCUUCUUACUUAUAAUUAGUUCUUACCUCAAACCCAUGCUGUAAUUUCCAAGUCUUGGUUGAGGUAAUACCAAAGAGAGAAUAUCUCUGUGUUUCUAUAGAGGGGUAGUCAGACUUCAGGCCUCCUGUGGCCAGAUCAGUCAGUUCAUGGCAAGGCAAAGAUAGGCUGGUUUUAGGAUAUGAGUCCCCCCCUUUUUUUUUCAGGGUCUAAGCAGACCUCCUUCUGGAAAAAAUGACAAGUCCUAAUCAUUAACUGCUGUAUCUGCAACACCAAGCAUCUAAGACACUGCUUGGCACAUAUUAGGCACUCAAGAUAUUGUUGAAGCCAGUCCUCCAUGGCACAUACCUGUAGUCCUAGCUACUUGGGAAGCUGAGGCAAGACGAUCGUUGAGCCCAGGAGUUUGAGUCCAGCCUGGGCAGCAUAAGCUGACCUCAUUUCUAAAAAUAAAUGAAUAAAUAUUGUUGAAUGAAGUCAAGCUCCUUUAUUUUUAUUACAGAAAUCAUGCUCUACCUUUUAACUGGCAGGAAGCUAAAGCAACUCAAGAUUUAAGAGAUGAAUCAGGCUGGGCACGGUGGCUCACGGCUGUGUCCCAGCACUUUGGGAGGUCGAGGCGAACAGAUCACGAGGUCAGGAGUUCAAGACCAUCCUGGCCUAUCUGAUGAAACCCCUUGUCUACUAAAAAUACAAAAAUUAGCCAGGCGUGGUGGCGCAUGCCUGUAGUCCCAGCUACUCGGGAGGCUGACGCAGGAAUCACUUGAACCCAGGAGGCAGAGGUUGCAGUGAGCCAAGAUUGUGCCACUGAACUCCAGCCUGGUGACAGAGUGAGACUGUCUCAAAAAAAAAAAAAAAUUAAUUAAUCGAAAAAAAAGGAAGCUUUCAAAAGAUUAGGAAAUUGCAGGAAUGCAUGGGAAAAAGAGAAUGGCCAUUGGUCCUGUUAUCUAGUGCAACUUGAUAAACCACUCCAAACCGUAGAGCUUAGAACAACAAUUAUUUUAUUAUCUAUUCGUCAUUUUUUAAUAUUUAUUUUAUUUACUUAGAGAUCCUGUCUCUUUGUUACCCAGGCUGAAGUGCAGUGAUACCAUAUUGGCUCACUGCCACCUCUGCCUCUUGGGCUCCAGCGAUCCUCCUGCCUCAGCCUUCCAAGUAGCUGGAACCCCACAGCGCGGCACCACACCUGACUAAUUUUUGUAUUUUUAGUAGAGAGGGUGUUUCACUACGUUGCCCAGGCUAGUCUCGAACUCCUGGGCCCAAGGGAUCCAUCCGCCUCACUUCCUAAACUUCUGGGAUUACAAGCGUGAGCCACCGCACCUGGCCUAUUAUUGUUUUGUUAAAAGCAGGGUCUCGGCUUUGCAAAUGCAGCCACCGACGCCAGGAGCUCUGUACGAUCAGCCAUGGUUAACCCCACCGUGUUC
This 3130-nucleotide long non-coding RNA is filed under the name Homo sapiens (human). RNAcentral's name for it is "non-protein coding lnc-EIF2B3-1:1". The record is from RNAcentral. Lineage: Eukaryota; Metazoa; Chordata; Mammalia; Primates; Hominidae.